CUUUCAACAACGGAUCUCUUGGUUCCAGCAUCGAUGAAGAACGCAGCGAAAUGCGAUAAGUAAUGUGAAUUGCAGAAUUCAGUGAAUCAUCGAAUCUUUGAACGCACAUUGUGCCCCUCGGUAUUCCGGGGGGCAUGCCUGUUCGAGCGUCAUU
This 154-nucleotide ribosomal RNA is filed under the name Flavopunctelia soredica. RNAcentral's name for it is "5.8S ribosomal RNA". It matches the Rfam family "5.8S ribosomal RNA". From Rfam's summary of the family: 5.8S ribosomal RNA (5.8S rRNA) is a component of the large subunit of the eukaryotic ribosome. It is transcribed by RNA polymerase I as part of the 45S precursor that also contains 18S and 28S rRNA. Functionally, it is thought that 5.8S rRNA may be involved in ribosome translocation. Lineage: Eukaryota; Fungi; Ascomycota; Lecanoromycetes; Lecanorales; Parmeliaceae. The record is from RNAcentral.